ACUCUUAAGGCUGAGACACGACGUCGAGCUACUACGGUAGUGAAGUCAUUGAUGCCAUGCUUCCAGGAAAAGCCUCUAAGCUUCAGAUUGUAAGGAAUCGUACCCCAAACCGACACAGGUGGUCGGGUAGAGAAUACCAAGGCGCUUGAGAGAACUCGGGUGAAGGAACUAGGCAAAAUGGUACCGUAACUUCGGGAGAAGGUACGCUCUUGAUGGUGAAGUCCCUUGCGGAUGGAGCUGACGAGAGUCGCAGAUACCAGGUGGCUGCAACUGUUUAUUAAAAACACAGCACUGUGCAAAAUCGUAAGAUGACGUAUACGGUGUGACGCCUGCCCGGUGCCGGAAGGUUAAUUGAUGGGGUUAGCGUAAGCGAAGCUCUUGAUCGAAGCCCCGGUAAACGGCGGCCGUAACUAUAACGGUCCUAAGGUAGCGAAAUUCCUUGUCGGGUAAGUUCCGACCUGCACGAAUGGCGUAAUGAUGGCCACGCUGUCUCCACCCGAGACUCAGUGAAAUUGAAAUCGCUGUGAAGAUGCAGUGUACCCGCGGCUAGACGGAAAGACCCCGUGAACCUUUACUACAGCUUGGCACUGAACAUUGAACCUACAUGUGUAGGAUAGGUGGGAGGCUUUGAAGACGUGACGCCAGUUGCGUUGGAGCCGUCCUUGAAAUACCACCCUUGUAUGUUUGAUGUUCUAACGUUGGCCCCUAAUCGGGGUUGCGGACAGUGCCUGGUGGGUAGUUUGACUGGGGCGGUCUCCUCCCAAAGAGUAACGGAGGAGCACGAAGGUGGGCUAAUCACGGUUGGACAUCGUGAGGUUAGUGCAAUGGCAUAAGCCCGCUUAACUGCGAGAAUGACGGUUCGAGCAGGUGCGAAAGCAGGUCAUAGUGAUCCGGUGGUUCUGAAUGGAAGGGCCAUCGCUCAACGGAUAAAAGGUACUCCGGGGAUAACAGGCUGAUACCGCCCAAGAGUUCAUAUCGACGGCGGUGUUUGGCACCUCGAUGUCGGCUCAUCACAUCCUGGGGCUGAAGUCGGUCCCAAGGGUAUGGCUGUUCGCCAUUUAAAGUGGUACGCGAGCUGGGUUUAGAACGUCGUGAGACAGUUCGGUCCCUAUCUGCCGUGGGCGUUGGAAGAUUGAAGGGGGCUGCUCCUAGUACGAGAGGACCGGAGUGGACGAACCUCUGGUGUUCGGGUUGUGUCGCCAGACGCAUUGCCCGGUAGCUAAGUUCGGAAUCGAUAACCGCUGAAAGCAUCUAAGCGGGAAGCGAGCCCUGAGAUGAGUCUUCCCUGAUACUUUAAGUAUCCUAAAGGGUUGUUCGAGACUAGAACGUUGAUAGGCAGGGUGUGUAAGCGCUGUGAGGCGUUGAGCUAA
Molecule: ribosomal RNA, 1370 nt
Filed under: Vibrio vulnificus
Lineage: Bacteria; Pseudomonadati; Pseudomonadota; Gammaproteobacteria; Vibrionales; Vibrionaceae
Description: partial 23S ribosomal RNA
Rfam family: Bacterial large subunit ribosomal RNA
Source: RNAcentral